GCCAGCAUGACAUAGUGGUUUGAGUGCUGGACUAUGACUCUGGAGAUCAGGGUUCAGUUCCCUGCUGGAG
Non-coding RNA from Phrynosoma platyrhinos (Desert horned lizard), 70 nucleotides. NCBI's taxonomy places the organism in Eukaryota, Metazoa, Chordata, Lepidosauria, Squamata, Phrynosomatidae. The record is from the annotation of a GenBank genome assembly.